RNAcentral lists this long non-coding RNA (7007 nucleotides) under Podarcis lilfordi (Lilford's wall lizard). The record is from RNAcentral. Lineage: Eukaryota; Metazoa; Chordata; Lepidosauria; Squamata; Lacertidae.
ACUUAACCCCUGGCGGGCGGCGGGCGCUCCGCUUCGCCUGCUGCCGCUCGAGGGGCGCCAGCGCCGCUUGCCAGCGCAGCCUCUGCCCGCCGCGCCGCGCUCCGCUCCGCAGCCGGGGCGCCCUUCUUCCGAGGCCGGCUGCACUCGCUCCAGAGCCGCCUCGGGAGUCUCCGGCUGCGGAGCGCGGGGCGGAGGCUUGAGCGGCUUCUCCUCCCUCCGCUUCUUUCUUCGAAGCUUUCCCGGCGGGAACCCAAGACGCGAAGAGGGGAGCCCCAAGGAAGGAGCGGGAGACGGGGCGAUCUGCCGUCCCCGAGAGCCACCCGCUUGCCUUCGCGACUUCGGAUGAAAGCAGCGCGCCAGAAGACGAGGUCCACGUGGGGAUGCAGUCCUGGUCCAGCGAGAGGAGGCUUCGGGGUCCGGGCAUCUGGGGCGGGGCCUCUUAAUUCUUGGGGAGCCCUCGAAACGGGGGCGGGGGAGGGAAGAAGAGGAAGAAAGGAGCCCCGUUGCAGCCCAGGCAUAGGAGCCAACUCCUAGGAGGCCCCCCCAAUAUCGUAAGGGGCUGCCCCCCAAAGUUGAUGGGUGUUGCCCUAACCCUAACCCUAACCAAAUAGUGUGGGUGUGCUGCUUCUUGCGAUCGAUUAUGUGGGGUGGAGUUUGCCUGGCCACCCCCAGUAUUUUAUUCAAGUUGGUACCCGUGAUCCCCUUCUUCGCUUGCCUUGCUAGCCCUGCUUGGUUGCUUUCCGACUCGUGCGCUCCAACCUGAGCGGGGCUGGGUCGCAGUUCCCUUGUUCAGCCCCGUAUCUCAGGCAUGGAGCAAUUCCGUGGAACAGUUGUAGGGAAGAAGAAGGGGGUUUGUGCCAUGGGCGUAGCCAAGGGGGCUGGGGGGGCAGUCCCCCCAUCAGUACAAAUCAAUACAAAUUCGAGGUUCUAUCCCCUCUAAAAAGCCUGCGCCCCCCAUAUCAUGGUUAUGCCCCUGGUCUGUGCCCAAGCUGCCCUCGGAGAAUGGGCUCCUCCCCUUUCGUAUGCUUCACACUUGCACGUCUGAGGUUUAGCUGCCCAUGAAAAAUGCACCUUCCAAGCGCACUGGGACACGUGUUUGUUAAAAUUAAUUUAUUUAUCACAUUUAUUUCCUGCCUUUCCUCCCAAAGGAGCCCAGGGAGGUUGAUUAUACAGAGCCAAACUUAAAUGUCGUCUGUCCCAAUCGUAUCUGAAGUGGGGUAUGAGUCUGACACAGUGCCGGAUUUACAUAUAAGCUAAAAAAAGCUAUAGCUUAGGGCCUCUCUCUCUUGGGGGCCCCCAAAAAAAUUUGAAGGCAAAAAAAGCUGGAUGCACAUUUCCAAAAUAUGAGAUAAAAAACAAAUAAAAUAAAAUCUACCUACAGCAACAUUAUGUAUUAAUAAUUAUUUGACAAUUAAUAUACUUCUUAAUUGUAUUUCAGUUCAACAAUUACUUUGAUAAAAUACAUAUUUUGUUAUGUGCAAAUGGUUUUAGAUACCUAUUAGAUCCAUAAAUUACCAUACAGCAUAUAUUCAACACAAAAAACAGCUACAAUUUGUUGUUAGCAAAGGACAGCUGGACAUAUAAAGGGCCCCAUUACCUUCAGGAGCUUAGGGCCUCAUCAAACCUAAAUCUGGACCUGGUCUGACAUAUAUUGAAUGAUCAGACAAGACACAUAUUGAAUAAUCAGGCAGACACAUAUGGAAAGAUGCCACCAUGUAUAGGCCACGCAUAUCUGAAAGCCAGAUUGGCUAUAGCACUCUGAGUGUAUGCUUGGAGAGGAACCCAGGUUUUCUACCAUGCACCAGGGGUGCAAGGGGCUUCAGCCCACUAAGUAUUUUGAAGCAUGGGGCUCAGCCCCCCCCCCAAUAUUGAGGGGGCUGACAUCCCCUGCUGCCUCCGGGCACCCCCUGCACGCCCCAGCCCCCAUCCGGAAGCCAGGAGGGGGCUGGGAUGAGCGAGGGCAAAGAUCGACCUCCGCGUGUCCCACCCGGGCCCAGUGCACGCCAUGGGGAGAAGGAGGUGGAGCACGGCAGCUGGGCUCUGCUCUCUGUCUCCUCCUCCCUGCCUGAUGUCGCAUGCGGAGAAGGAGGCCAAGCAUGGAGCAGCUCCGCUCUCCCCAUUUCUCAGCGUGCAAGCGCCAGCGGUGGGACAUGUCACGUGACAUCACAUGAUGUGUCACAUGAUGCGGCCCCCCCUAAUGUGGGGGGCAAGUAGGCGCCCCUGCUACCAUGUAGCCCUAAGUGACCACAACGUGUUCACACAUAUCUGGGAUUGAAGGGACAACCUUGAAUUUGAGUAGGGGUCUUAUAGUACCAACACAUUGUAAAUUUUGAAGUGAAUGGGUCUCAUCAUGACAGCUUCCAAUGUCCUCAAGGAGAGACUCAACAUGUAGGCUGCCAUGCUGAUGUUCAUUCUCUCUCUCGCAAACACAUACACAGAGAGAGAGAGAGAUGGCAAAACAUAGCAUAAUAUCCAAUUUAUUAAGAUCAGCAUGACAUGCUUAGUUUUCUGGAAGUAAACUCAAUUUAACUCAGUAUUGCUUCUGACUGCAUAGGUUCAGCUUGUAAAAUACACUGAGCUUUAACAAAAGACCUUCAGGCACCUGAAGUAUAAUCUGUGGUUCUUAAUUAGAAAUGCAAACCAUUUUGCAAAAAAAAAGUGUUACUAGUAUGAGGUGGGAACCGCAUCAGAGAAAAGGAAAUAAGUUUCCUGUUUCUGUUUGCUUGUAUUUCACAUUCUUCAACUUAUUUUAUGUUAACCUGUAGCAAACGUGACAUGAAGGCUGGCAUCCUCAGCCCCACCAUGUGGUCGUCCCUGGCAGACGACCGCAGUGCCUGGAGACAGACAGACAGGUCAUGCAGUGACCAGAGGAGGAAUGACUGUUGGGAGGAGUGCAGGGAGAAGAAAUGCCAUGGUACACCUCCAUUAGGACAAAUGGAUGUCUUCAUCUGCUCCUGCUGCAACAAAACAUGUCUCUCCCAUAUCAGUUUCUACAGCCACAGCAGGCACUACAACCUUAGCAGUUUGACUUCACCACCAAAGAUGUUUGCCUCCCUUGUCUCCUGAGACAGAUGGAUGCCAGCCAAUCAGAAAGCAAACAAAUUUGGAAGCCUCACUGUCACCUAUUUCAAGGAGUGCCCACCAACAAGCAGACGCCAUAAUUACUCCUGCUCAGGGAAAAAGUCCAGAAGCCGUCAUUUCCUUCCACAACACCAAUGCUUUAUCAUUUCCCUCUCUCUUAUUUUUGAAAUGGAACAAUUCUCCCACACCAAUACAUUGGUUAGUGGAUUUGUUUCCAGCAACUUCACAGCAGCUGCCUGCUCCAAUUAAUGUUCAAGACUUAAUGUAGCAAAAGAUUAAAGCAAAAUAGUUGUCGCUGUUCAAAACUAAUGUACAGCCUGUUCCAUAAUCCAGUGAAGCUGAAGGGCUUGGCUUAACUUCAGUGAUGGGCCUGAACUAGCUUUGGGCCAAGAAUUUCACUUUAACCAGGUCAGUGUGGAUCAGUUCCACUAAAGUUGGGCAACUGGAUUCAGACAGCACUUAAAAGAGAGUUGCUUAAUUUAAUCUGGCUUGUUUUGUGGGUUGCAUACAUCUAUGUGUGGUGCACUAGCACGUGUUGUUUAUAGGCUACAACUACAAAGUGCAUUUGUCCAGGCAGAACCUCAUAUGCCUCUGGUGAGCAUAACAAUAAUCUUUUUGGAUCAGACCAAAGCGCACACCGAAGUCAGUGCUCUGUUCCCAGCAGCGGGGAAACACCAAGCAGGGCACAAAGGCAAAAGCUUUCUCUUGGUGAUUAUUUCCAGAAGUUGGUGUCCCGAGGUAUACUAUUCCCUUUAGGUUCCAUAGAACUAUUAUGGCUGUUAUCACUGUGGGUGGCUCCAUCCUCCGUGAAAUUGUACAAUAUCCACAAUAUCAUUAAAGUUAGUGGGUGCCACUACAUCUUAUAGUAGGAAGCCCCAUAGAUUACAGUGGUACCUUGGGUUACAUACGCUUCAGGUUACAUACGCUUCAUGUUACAGACUCCGCUGACCCAGAAAUAUUACCUUGGGUUAAGAACUUUGCUUCAGGAUGAGAACAGAAAUCGUGCUUUGGCGGCACGGCGGCAGCAGGAGGCCCCAUUAGCUAAAGUGGUGCUUCAGGUUAAGAACAGUUUCAGGUUAAGAACGGACCUCCGGAACGAAUUAAGUUCUUAACCCGAGGUACCACUGUAGCUGUAUCUUGUUUGAAUUUGUUGGCAAUUAGUUUGAUUUGGUGACCCUGAGCUGUCCUCUUAUGAGAGGGGGAAAUUAUGCGUGGAUGAGCAAAGCUAAAUCUAAAUCUGCUUGAGAUUCCUACACCAGACCAGCUCAGUUGCUGGUGUGGCCAUUCUGCAAAUAUCCAGAGAAGUGUUUACAGCACACUUUGCCUGCGUAGAGCAAUAAUUUAAUGAAACAAUAAUACUUUGCAGUGCUUUUUGAAUGUUCAAGCAUUUCUCAGUAAUUUCCAUCCCAAGAAUGAAUUCCAAAGCUUUAUUGCAGAACAUUCUUAAAUCUAGGUACAAUAACAAAAGACAAAGUAACAUAUUGUACUAAGGUAGGACACCCUGAAAAUCAUUGAGCUUUUUUUUAGGAAACCACCACUGAGCUUUUUUUGUUGAGCCAAAAAGACACAAUUUUUUAAUUGACUUUCCUAAAACAUUUCAGAAAUUUCCCACAGAUGUCAUUUCUGCCUUUGACAUCCCGGUACUGUCUGGGACAUAUGACAGCCCUAACUAAGGAGUGUGGUUCAAUCCGUUGUGCAGUUCAGUAAACUUUAUUCUCUCAGGUCUCAGAGAGAGCUCGGUUUCUGGGUGCUAAGUCAUCAGGUGGUUUAGUUCACUGAAAUGGAAAAACACCAACCUUCCACUUUCAUCCAGAGUGGAACCUAUUGCUGAAGGGAAAUUGACCUUUACAGCAUUAACAUACAUACAAGGCUCUCAAACACAGCUUUUUAUGUACAUUAAACUUAGAACUUUAACAGCUCUAUGUGAAACACAAAGUACCUUCAAACUACUUAGCUUUUUCUUGCUAUCUCGAAUUAGUGGGAGCAGAAGAUGCAAGUGUAGUUUUGUGAUUUAAUAGUACUUGUAGGAUACGUAUCCUUGGAAAUGGAUGGCACCUUUUCCUGCAGGACAUUCUGAAGUCAGCUCUGCAGUUUGCACAAUCCUGCACUGAUCCCCAUGACUGCCUUGUCAGUUAUAUAGAUGAAGGAAGGGGAAGAGAAGACUCAAGUCUCUGGCACACUGAAUGCAGAUACCAGAUGAUCAGCAUGAGUACAUCUGAACAGACUCAGUCCAUUUCAAAUGAGCUUCACAUAAAAUGCCUUGCCAUUGCCAUCGCCGUGGGAUGCUGCUUGUACAUCUGGUACAGUACUGAAUCCAGAGUGGGAAGCUUUCAUGUGAACAAUCAGAGAUUUCUCAUUUUGUGUUGACUUUGGUAAUGUAAACUGCAAGUUCAUCUCAGGGCAAGGAAAAAGGAAGAGACACAUCUUGGUGGAGCAUUCCUAUGGGUUAUGCCCACUUCUAUAACCUUAUCCCCAAAGUCACAGGGAGAAGUACUUCCCACUUCCCCAAUGGAACACUUCCCACUUACGUAUAUAUGAAAUUAUGUUAUGAUCUUCAGGCCUGUGUUACUCAUGUAAAUGCUCAAAUGUGCACAGGUGACCUAGGAAUAUUCAUAUGCUUUCUCUCAUGCACGUCAACUUUCUGCCUUAUUUCUCAUACAUUUGGAUAUUGUCUCCUGUGCAGUAAACCUGGAUGGCAGCUAACAUUACUGAGGGAACUAUCCAGCGAGAUCUGCUAUGCCUAGGGGCUACCUAUUAAUGCCACCAACUGAUCAAGAAGGACCAGCAUUUAUUGAUCUGUGACGUGCCACAAGAUUCUGUUGCUGGUGCCUUGAUUGGCAGACCUAUUUUUUUCUAGGGCACCAUUUGUCUUUCUUCCACAAGAAGACAUCUGCUAUUUUUGCUGCUUCUUGUUUCCUCUUCCCUUCUCUGGGCCUUUCUGGUGAACCUUUUGUAGUGCUGGUGUUUAGCUGAUUCAGGGCUCCAAAUGUCUUUCUUCAAGGAACUGCUUCUGUUUUGGAAUAUAACUUUUUUUCAGCCACUGAGGUAAAGGUAAAGGACCCCUGGAUGGUUAAGUCCAGUCGAAAUUGACUAUGGGGUGCAGCUCUCAACUUUGCUUUCAGGCCAAGGGAGCCAGCGUUCAUCUGCAGACAGCUUUCCUUGUCAUUUGGUCAGCAUGACUAAACCGCUUCUGAUGCAACGGAACACCAUGAUGGAAGCCAGAGUGCACAGAAACACCAUUUACCUUACCUCUGCUGUGGAACCUGUUUAUCUACUUGCACUGGUAUGCUUUCGAACUGCUUGGAUGGCAGAAGCUGGGACAGAGCAAUGAGAGCUCACCUCAUCAUGCAGAUUCAAACCACCGACCUUUCGAUCAGCAAGCCCAAGAAGCUUAGUGGUUUAGACCACAGCACCACCUGCAUCCCAUCAAUUCACUUCAGCCACUGAAGUUUUUUUGUUUGUUUUUUGCAGUGCAAAUGCAAUUCCCCUUGAUACCCGCUACACCCCCCACAGUUUGUUAACAUAGAUAUUGCUUUGUCCUACAAAUGCCACAGAUGCUUAUUCAGUUAAUGCUGUAACAUCACUGGUGGCAAAGAAGUUUGCUUUACCACAGCUAUAAACAAAGAAAGUAAAGAUGGCAGCAUAUUUUCCUAAACAAAAUAAAAACAACAAUUAAACACUAACAAAUAUAUUGUGGCAGAAGCUUUUGUAUAUUACUGUCCACUUUGUCAGAUACAUAACGUAUUGUCCUAAGUUAGGGUAGGGUGGAUGGGUAGUAAACGAAUGAGGUCAGAGGGAAAUGAAAUGCUGAAAAAUACAGACAUUGAUAAUUAUGUGUUGAAUGUUUGUGACCAAUAACCUGUUGGGUUACUUUGUGCGGUGAGAAGUUCAGCAAAGCUAUUAAACUUCCCACAGUGGACAAAGUG